RNA transcript from Homo sapiens (human), 7514 nucleotides. It is a transcript of the gene named F-box protein 34, with no coding region annotated. The record is from RefSeq and is marked validated. The transcript is spliced from 4 exons. NCBI's taxonomy places the organism in Eukaryota, Metazoa, Chordata, Mammalia, Primates, Hominidae.
GCUCGGUCCGACUCAGCGGUGGGGAGUGAGCCAGGCCUCCCGCCACCGCUGCUGCCGCCACCACUGCGUCGGGCUGGUGCAGCCCCGGGCCAGGCCGCGGCCGGGGCAGGAGCGCAGGGGCUUUGUUAUGCACCUAAAGCCAUAUUGGAAGCUCCAGAAGAAAGAGCACCCCCCGGAAGUCAGCAGGGAAACGCAGAGAACUCCUAUGAACCACCAAAAGGCUGUAAAUGAUGAAACAUGCAAAGCUAGCCACAUAACAUCAAGUGUCUUUCCUUCAGCCUCUCUCGGUAAAGCAUCAUCUCGAAAGCCAUUUGGGAUCCUUUCUCCAAAUGUUCUGUGCAGUAUGAGUGGGAAGAGUCCUGUAGAGAGCAGCUUGAAUGUUAAAACCAAAAAGAAUGCACCAUCUGCAACGAUCCACCAGGGCGAAGAAGAAGGACCACUUGAUAUCUGGGCUGUUGUGAAACCUGGAAAUACCAAGGAAAAAAUUGCAUUCUUUGCAUCCCACCAGUGUAGUAACAGGAUAGGAUCUAUGAAAAUAAAAAGUUCCUGGGAUAUUGAUGGGAGAGCUACUAAGAGAAGGAAAAAAUCAGGGGAUCUUAAAAAAGCCAAGGUACAGGUGGAAAGGAUGAGGGAGGUUAACAGCAGGUGCUACCAACCUGAGCCUUUUGCAUGUGGCAUUGAGCACUGUUCUGUGCACUAUGUGAGUGACAGUGGGGAUGGAGUCUAUGCUGGGAGGCCUCUGUCAGUUAUACAGAUGGUUGCCUUCUUGGAGCAAAGAGCCAGUGCUCUGCUAGCUAGCUGUUCAAAAAACUGCACAAACUCACCUGCAAUUGUGAGGUUUUCUGGCCAAUCCAGAGGUGUGCCUGCAGUGUCUGAGUCCUAUUCUGCCCCAGGAGCUUGUGAAGAACCCACAGAAAGGGGAAAUCUUGAGGUUGGUGAACCACAGAGCGAACCAGUCCGUGUCCUUGACAUGGUAGCCAAGUUGGAGUCUGAGUGCCUGAAGCGGCAGGGCCAGCGUGAGCCUGGGAGCCUCUCAAGGAAUAACAGCUUCCGUCGAAAUGUGGGCAGAGUAUUGCUUGCAAAUAGCACUCAGGCUGAUGAAGGCAAAACAAAGAAAGGCGUCUUGGAGGCACCUGACACUCAGGUGAAUCCUGUGGGGUCUGUAUCUGUGGAUUGUGGCCCUUCAAGAGCUGAUCGUUGUUCUCCUAAGGAGGACCAGGCCUGGGACGGUGCUUCUCAGGACUGCCCCCCAUUGCCAGCAGGAGUGAGUUUCCACAUAGACAGUGCAGAGUUAGAGCCGGGUUCGCAAACUGCCGUGAAAAACAGCAACAGAUAUGAUGUGGAAAUGACAGAUGAACUCGUUGGGUUACCUUUUUCCUCUCAUACCUAUUCCCAAGCCUCUGAAUUGCCCACAGAUGCUGUUGAUUGUAUGAGCAGAGAGCUUGUGUCCCUUACUAGCCGAAAUCCUGAUCAAAGAAAAGAAUCUUUGUGCAUUAGUAUCACUGUGUCCAAGGUAGACAAAGACCAGCCUUCCAUUUUAAACUCCUGUGAAGACCCAGUUCCAGGGAUGUUGUUUUUUUUGCCACCUGGUCAGCACUUGUCAGACUAUUCCCAGUUGAAUGAAAGCACAACAAAAGAGUCUUCAGAGGCCAGCCAGCUUGAAGAUGCUGCUGGGGGUGACAGUGCAUCUGAGGAAAAAAGUGGGUCUGCUGAGCCAUUUGUACUGCCAGCCUCUUCUGUGGAAAGUACAUUACCAGUGCUUGAGGCAUCCAGUUGGAAGAAGCAGGUGUCGCAUGACUUCCUGGAGACCAGGUUUAAAAUCCAGCAGCUUUUGGAGCCUCAGCAGUACAUGGCUUUUCUGCCCCACCACAUUAUGGUAAAAAUCUUCAGGUUACUUCCCACCAAGAGUUUAGUGGCCCUUAAAUGUACCUGCUGCUAUUUCAAGUUUAUCAUUGAGUACUACAAUAUCAGGCCAGCAGAUUCUCGCUGGGUUCGAGAUCCACGCUAUAGAGAGGAUCCUUGCAAACAGUGCAAGAAAAAGUAUGUGAAAGGGGAUGUGUCCCUGUGCCGAUGGCACCCCAAGCCCUAUUGCCAGGCAUUGCCCUAUGGGCCAGGGUAUUGGAUGUGCUGCCACCGGUCUCAGAAAGGAUUCCCUGGCUGUAAGCUGGGGCUUCAUGACAAUCACUGGGUUCCUGCCUGCCACAGCUUUAAUCGGGCAAUCCAUAAGAAAGCAAAAGGGACUGAAGCUGAAGAGGAAUACUAAAGUCCAUGUGAGAGGCAACAAAAGGACCGGUUUCUAAAGCUGCAAAACACCUAGAUACACCGUUCAAAUGAGCGUAGCCCCCUGAGUCAUCACUCUAGAAGAAUCUGUACAUCAUCAGGACUGCAUUGCUCAGGCAUUUUCUAAACUCUAAAUUUACGAGCUGUACAAAAAAAUUGGUCUUGUUGUUUAUAGUGGCAUCUCAUGUUUGAACCCGGGUGGUAUCCCACAGUUGGAUUCAGUUGGCUGUGAAUAACUGCCUGUUUUCCUAAAUCAAACCCAUCCUCAAAGGAUGAAGACUCACCACCAUCCAGGACAUUCAGAAGAGUUCACUGCAGAUGCUGCAGGUUUAAAGGAGAUCAACAUAAAGGACCUAGAGUACAGCUUGCCUGUAGACGUCAGCUAUGGCUGACAUUGACUAUGGCUCUACACUGGCCCAGCCUGGACACUGGAUAAACAACUCUCUUGGUUGGUUUUCACAGAUCAGCCACUCUUGAUCUGGUUUUCAUGUGGGACACAAAGCUGUGACUGCGUGAGGGGUUAAAGUGACCAAGAGCAGAGGGCACACCCUUACUUGAUCAUCUGAAGCAAAAACCAGAACCAGGGAAACUAGAGGAGGAGUCAGGGAGCUGCUGCUCCUAUUCCUGGAGUGGUUCACCUCUCCCCUGCCCAGUGGAUGGUCCAGACCCAAGGAAGGAGUGAAUUGAAAGCUAAGGAGGGGCUCAGGUAAGAGUAACAUUUGCUUUUUUAGGCUCUCUUAAAUGACUCCAGGUUAAAACAGACAUACGAGAGGACUGUUCAAACCCUAAGCACGUUGGUGGCUCUGUGCUUAGGAGAUACCUCUUUUGGAACCCAACCCUAUGCCCCUGCUUGGCUGGGUGCCUUUCAGCGCCCUCUGCACAUCUGCCACCACAUGCCCCUCUUCUUGUCUGUCACCGUAUCUUUGGCCCUCCCCAUCUGUAGGUUCUGCAUCGCAGAUUCAACCAGCCUCAGAUUUAAAAUACUCAGAAAAAAACAUUGUGUUUGUACUGAACAUACACACUUUUUUUCUUGUCAUUAUUCCCUAAACAAUACAAGCAUAACAACUGUUUACAUUAGGUAUUAUAAGCAAUCUAGAGGUGAUUUAAAGUAGAUGGGAGGCUAUGCAUUGGUUAUAUGCAAAUACUAAGCCAUUUUCCAUCAGAGACUUGAGCAUCUGCAGAUACCGAGGGACCACUGUGGAGCUUGCCCACCCACUGCACUCAACUCAGAGGGCAUCGCCCACAGUGCCUCACACAACACACUCUGUAAAAUGUGUGCAUUCCUCUCGAGUGACCAUUUUAAUGUGAGGAGUGCCUCCAGGACCUGACUGCUCUGGGCCAUACCAUAAUUUUCUGUUUAGUAUGAGAAACCUGACAGGGAGGUAAAGGGGUCUUGGAGGACCUUGUCCUCUGGCCAUAGCUGGUCUCAUGGGAGCAUCCUUGGUGGAAACUCCCACUGCAGCUAUGUGGGGUUUGCUCGGUACCUCUCAUUGUGCAUCUGGUAUAACCUCAGUUCUGUUAGCACCAGUAGUAGCUCCCCUAGCAGCAGGCUCUGAGCCGGUGGUUAUGUUAUGACCUAGAGGUUCCCUUCCUGGGCUUUGUCCAAUCACCGCUUCUAACUUGGACUUGUCAGUACCUUCGUGCCAACCUUUUUGGACCAGCUUGGGGCACUGUUUUUAUGUGAGUGUUCCCAGGUAUUUUCCAUAGCUCCGUUCCUUCUUCACUCAGCAGACUGGCUGUUUGUCCUCCUUUAUCUACAGCCUGAUACAAAAACAUGAAAUUAGCCUGCACACUGCGAGCCCUUCUUUUGUGUACACCACCGACUAAACCAAUGAGAGCUGAUGUUAUCUAGCUGUAUGUCGGGUAUGCCUCGUUUAAAGGCAUUCUCUACUGUGCAGUGUCUGACACUUGGGGAAUCUGAUUGUUUCUGGGGUUGGUUUGUUUGUUUUGAGAUGGAGUCUUGCUCUGUCGCCCAGACUGGAGUGCGGUGGUGCGAUCUCAGCUCACUGCAACCUCAGCCUGCUGGGUUCAAGUGAUUCUUCUGCCUUAGCCUCCCGAGUAGCUGGGACUACAGGCAUGCGCCACCACGUGGGCCCAGCUGAUUUUUUUAUUUUUUUAUUUUUACUAGAGAUGGGGUUUCACCAUAUUGGCCAGGCUGGUCUUGAACUCCUGACCUUGUGAUCUGCCCACCUCAGCCUCCCAAAGUGCUGGGAUUACAGGCGUGAGCCACCGUGCCUGGCUGUUUCUGUUUUUUUGAGAUGGGGGUCUCUCGCUUAGGCUGGAGUGCAGUGGCAUGAUCUCGACUCAUUGCAGCUUCAACCUCUUGGGCUCAAGUGAUUCUCCUGCCUCAGUCUUCCGAGUAGCUGCAACUACAGCUGCAUGUCACUAUGCCUGGCUAAUUUUUGUAUUUUUUUGUGGAGACAGUUUUGCCACGUUGCCCAGGCUGGGAAUCUGAUUGCUUUUAUCCCCGUUUUUCCUCAAAAAAGCUAGUGUUGCAAUCUUUGUGAGUUGGUCAAGGUACCUGUGUGGGAGAUGUGCAGUCUCAACUGACAUACAUGUCAUUUCCUGCCUGUCAUUUGUGGCCAUAGCUGAUGUUUGCACAACCUCUUGGGAAGAGCAAACAUUGGUGGUUAUAAACCCUUGGGUAACAUCCAGUGCAUUUAUACCAAACUGAUGUGAGGAAAAGCACAGUAAGGUAGCAUCACCAUUCCAGGUGGUUGGUUUGACCUUAACAGUUUUAGGGGAGCAGAGCCAGUGUCUGGGAAGAACUGAAAUGGAAGCAGAGAUGGCAGUCCCUUAUGUGGCAGCAGCCCAUGUAAGAGGUGAUGUUCCUCUAUCUGCAAAGCAGAACAAAACCUUUUACCCUUUCUCCCAGAGGCCCCCUCAGCCAAGCAUCCUUCAGUGAGCAGAGAACAGGCCUCAGAACAAACUCCUUUUGGGACCCCCCUCUCAUUCUUUUUGAAUUAAGGUGGACUUUUCCUUUACAUACUGGUACUGAAGUCUCAGAUCUGUUUAUUAAGAAGUAUGAAGGGCUCAUGCCUGUAAUCCGAGCACUUUAGGAGGCCAAGGUGGAAAAAUCAUUAAGCUCAGGAGUUUGAGACCAGGCUGGGUAGGAAAGUGAGACUCUGUCGUUGUACAAAAAAUAAAUGAGUGAGGCAUGGUGGCACACACCUGUAGCCCCUGCUAUUCAGGAGGCUGAUGCAGGAGGACAGCUUGAGCCUAGGAAGUUGGCUGCAGUGAGCCAUGAUUGCAUCACUGCACUGCAGCUUGGGUGACCCUGUCUCAAAAAAUAUGAAGAUGUUGAUAAAGUUCUUAAAAAACUAAAAAUCAAUUAGUUAAAUAAAAAAUAAAAAAUCAAUUAGUUGCCAAACAUGAGUAAAAUGGAAAGCAAGGUUGUAUUUAAUUGUAUCUGUUCCCUCUCCACUGUGAGGCUGGAUAAUCUAUUUGCAUAACUUGAGUGUUUGCAGUCUGGUUCAAGGGUAGGGUUGGAGCCAGGCCUGGCCCACCCACCCUUCCCUAUUCUGGGACCGAACUGUUGGCCUUCACUCUGCCCUUCCUCACCAAUCCUCCCCUAUACAGACAACGCAGCAUGAUUCUGCUACAGGGUGUGUGGCCUGUCUUGAGCAAUACCCUUUCUCUACCAGCCCUUAUUUUCUCUCCUAAGCAGAGAUGACUUGGCUGCCCUAGUGCCUAAGCUGGGACCUCUCGUGAACUUUUCCUUUUCCACGGCCAGUGGUCUUGGCUUUAGGCCCCUCAGAUUUCUAAGUCUGUGCUCCAUGCAGGGUCUUGAAAGGAAACUGCUGCACACUUGAAAUGAGUAAAUUCAAGGAUUUAUUAUAAGGGUGUAGAUAUAGGGACAAGCCCUUCCCAGUAUUUGCAGGGCCCAUGGCAGGAACACAGAGAGCCCUCCUGCAGCACAUCCCCUCCAGCAUCCUCCCACCCUCUGUACUGAGCCACGCCUCAGCCACUUCUCAGGACGAAGGGAUCUGUCUGGAGGACAAAGCUGGGGAAGGGCUGGAGGUCCUGAGGUUCUGGGAACCUAGGUAAUGGUUUAUAAGGAGAACAAAGAUUCUGGAACAGUGCCUGCCCCCUUGAUCCUUCAAACUCCUUGCCCAUGAAGAGGCGCAGGGCAGGAAGGCCAAAGGAUUGGCCCUACUAAUGUGCAGGAGCUGGUGCAGAGGCCCCAGCUGCCUGGUUGGGGGUAGUAGUGGGUGGGGUAGUAGUGGGCAGGGUAGUGGCUGCACAUUAGAAUCAACUGUGGAGCUUUUAAAAUUCUCAAUGCUCAGGGCACACCCUAGACCUAUUAAAUCAACCACUGGGGGUGGGAGCUCCCAGGUGAUUCCAGUUGCAGGUGGGGUUGAGAACUACUGACACGUGUAAUAGAACCACGGGGUGAUUGUGGUUGGGAUGAUGGUUCCCAGGUCUGGUGGAAGGAGGAGGGUGGUUGCUGGGAUGGGAAGGAGGGAGGAAGGAACAAAGACAUGGCAGGGAAGGAGCCAGGGAAUGAACACCUUGAGCCUCAAAGGGCCUGGAGACCACCGAUGCACCACUCCCAGCAUAGUCUCUCUGGCAGUGAGCAGGAUGAAGGGGAGGGAGUGGACCUAGAGGGGCAAAUGUGAACCAGAAACAGCCUUCUGUGGGACAUUUCAAGCAGGGAGAGAGUCACUAUUUUGUCAGAACAAGCCUCCCCCCAGCUCUUCUUCAGCUUCCCAAAGGCCAGUGCAAAAUUUCCUUCCUUCUCCAUGCCUGUGGAAGAAGGAAACCUAUUUCCUAAAACUUGAUGAUCCCUAGGAGGCCCUAAAUGCACACCUGGGAAGCUGUUCACCAGGCUCUAGAUAAAAUUCGUUCCAUCCAACAGUUCCAGACCACUGCAAUAAAGCAAGUCAUGAAUUUUCUGGUGCAUAUACAAGUUAUGUUUAUGUGAUACUGUACUAAGUGUACAAUAGCAUUAUGUCUAAAAAACAAUGUACAUUAAGGAAUGCUUUAUUGCUUAAAACAUGCUAACAAUCAGCUGUGAGUCAUAAUCUUUGCUGGUGUAUGGUUUGCCUCAAUAUUGAUAGCUGACGACUGAUCAGAGUUGGUGGCUGCAGAAGGUUGGGUGGCUAUGGCAAUUUAAGACAACAAUGAAGUUUGCUGUAUCGAUUAACUCUUCCUUUCACGAAAGAUUUCUCUGUAGCAUGUGAUGCUGUUUGAUAGCAUUUUACCCCCAUUAUAACUUACUUCAAAAUCUCAAA